Molecule: ribosomal RNA, 251 nt
Filed under: uncultured bacterium
Lineage: Bacteria
Description: partial 16S ribosomal RNA
Rfam family: Bacterial small subunit ribosomal RNA
Source: RNAcentral
UACGAAGGGGCGAGCGUUGUUCGGAUUUACUGGGCGUAAAGGGCGCGCAGGCGGUCUUGAAAGUCAGGCGUGAAAGCCCCGGCUUAACCUGGGAAUUGCGCUUGAUACUCUGAGACUGGAGUACGGGAGAGGAGAGUGGAAUUCCCAGUGUAGAGGUGAAAUUCGUAGAUAUUGGGAAGAACACCAGUGGCGAAGGCGGCUCUCUGGACCGUAACUGACGCUGAGGCGCGAAAGCGUGGGAGCAAACAGGG